CAGGAUGUGGAAAGUAGGUGAGAGGAAGCUGCCAAAGAUGACUCAAUUUUCUUGCUUGAGCACCUAGAGGAAUAAUACGGCUGAUAAUAAGUUGGAGAAUGCAGCCUAAGCAGAUUUUCACAACGACCAGGAAGAUUGAGAAUCCAAUUUAUGAAAUUGGGGAAUAUUCUACUUGACAGAGAAAGGUUCCAUCUUGCAUGUGAAGAAGAGGAUCCAGGGACUUAAGAGAAGUCAUGAGGGGUUGUGACUUCCCCGUCAAAGAAAGGGGAAGCCUAAAGAAACACUCAAGAAAGGGGAAGUCUAAAGAAACAGUCAAGGCCACCAGCUCUGGAGCCUGCUAUGAGCCACGCGUGAACUUCAGUAAAGAGGUCAUUCAUCAAAAACUGAAAAGGUCAGGGACAUGGACAAAGACCUUCAGCAAACCGUAUAAAGAAUAUCAGAUAUAAAGGCCACUCCAUCCAGACACAUUGGAAAGCUGAAGGGGACAGAGGGAGGAAAUGAGGUACCAACCUGGAUGAGCAUCCAGCUAAACUGGCAAAGAUACAGGUAAUGUAUGACAGCAGCCACGGCUGAACAGCUCUCCUCCGUGAG
This is a long non-coding RNA of Physeter macrocephalus (sperm whale), 591 nucleotides long. RefSeq lists it as uncharacterized. NCBI's taxonomy places the organism in Eukaryota, Metazoa, Chordata, Mammalia, Artiodactyla, Physeteridae. The transcript has 6 exons. The record is from RefSeq and is a predicted model, not a curated record.